UACGUAGGGGGCAAGCGUUGUCCGGAUUUAUUGGGCGUAAAGAGCGUGUAGGCGGCCAGGUAGGUCAGCUGUGAAAACUCGAGGCUCAACCUCGAGACGCCGAUGGAAACCAUCUGACUAGAGUCCGGAAGAGGAGAGUGGAAUUCCUGGUGUAGCGGUGAAAUGCGCAGAUAUCAGGAAGAACACCCGUGGCUAAGGCGGCUCUCUAGUACGGUACUGACGCUGAGACGCGAAAGCGUGGGGAGCGAACAGG
Molecule: ribosomal RNA, 253 nt
Filed under: uncultured bacterium
Lineage: Bacteria
Description: partial 16S ribosomal RNA
Rfam family: Bacterial small subunit ribosomal RNA
Source: RNAcentral